RNA transcript from Scylla paramamosain (green mud crab), 1947 nucleotides. RefSeq lists it as uncharacterized. The transcript is spliced from 10 exons. The record is from RefSeq and is a predicted model, not a curated record. Lineage: Eukaryota; Metazoa; Arthropoda; Malacostraca; Decapoda; Portunidae.
UUGUUGGCCUGCACGAUUAAUGAGGCAUAAGAAAAGAGAUUUUUUUUUCGCCAAACUGUUGAUACUGAGAAAGAUACACCAGUUUGCUCUUUCAUUGCCUCGUUCUUCCAUCUGAUGAACGACGGUUUUGUGUUUCAGAGGCAAACGACCGAGCUCAUUGUGACUCGUGUUUGUGCCUCUCUGUGUGCUGGCCUAGCAUUCUGUGUGGACGUGGCGGUGUUGUCUACACCGGUGGUGGUGAUGGUGAUAGCGAUGGUGAAUGUGCGGGACUGUGGUGGUGGUGGUGAUGGUAUUUGCGGAUGCAGCAUCUAGAAAUCGUGGUGGUGAUGGUGGUUGUUAUGGUGGAACGUUCGUACCCUGCGUCUAAUGGCUGCACUCCUUCGAGCGGAUGAAGAUGAUGACGUGCUCAUCACAGGGGAUGAACUGCACCGUGCUCUCGCCAGGUGUAAGGCAACAGCUCCCGGGAAUGACGGCGUUACUUACCAGGUCCUCCGACUCCUCCUCAAAGUCCCUGGUGAGAAACUUUGCCUUCAUCAGUGUCUGUCGUUCUGGCCAAGGCGGGUCCACAGCCUCGGCCGCGGACAGCCUCGUGAUGGUCAGCCCUCCAAGUGUGCUCGUCUUAGCAAGGCCUUCCUCUCCCAGACGACCAAAACGCAGAGGGAGGUGUUCCACGCGCCCUUCUGCACCACCUGGUUCUGUACGGCCUGGACGGGGCUCUUCUGCCCGCUCUGCCUCGCCUGCCACUCCUGCUUCCGGAGGGACAAGGACUCACUCAAGGUCUCCCUCAAAACCAUCGCACAGAACUUCAGGGACCGCGGCGUCACUUUCAGCGCCAUAUUCGACCAGGAUUCCAGGGUGAUCCAGAGCGCCUUCCUGCACGCCAUCCAGCACUACAGUCAAAACACCGCGGGCAGGAGGCUUCAGCUUCACGCCUUUGUGGGCAUCAUCAGUAUGGCGGACGCCUUCAAGAUCUCCAGACUGAGUGGUAACACGGAGAGCAAGUGGAAGAAACCUUGGGAGACUUCCAUGACUCAGGAACAAGCACACCUCACUGGGAGCCUUGUGACUGACAGGUGGUUCAGACCGACUGGGAGACAUGACGUCAGUGCCACCACACAGGGAGUAAAACCAAGAGGAGGAAGAGGAGCAUUCAAGAGACAUCAGCUGGCCAGCAGUCCAUUCAGACACACACACACACCCAGGCUUCCAAGUUGAUAAUCCAAAAGCCAGCAGAUGACAGCUUCCUUCCAGCACACACUUGUAUCGCCCAACUUGACCUGCCUGAAUACAAGCUGAUACAGUCCAUGCAGCAGGGAGUGCAGCCUCUACAAGUGGUGGAGGGCAUGGACACUUGGAUAUGGAUGACACUGGUUUGGGUGCCAAAUAUUAAUAGUGCACCUACACAAUUACCACACUCGCUCCCCUCACCAGGCUUAACUAUAAAUAAUUAAAGGUAAAUAACAUCUGUCAUCUAUUAUCUAUUGUAUUCUAUAUUGCUGUUAAUGUUUCAUGUAUAAUGUCUUUGCUUUCAAAUGCAAGUCAAAAGGGUGAACCCCAUUUAUAGUACUAUUCACGUUUGGCAAAUUUCACUUUUGACAUUGGUUUGGCUACACUAAUUAAACUGCUAACAGUGAGGGACUACUGUAAAUGUAGUAAUAAUUAUAAUAAUAAUAAUAAUAAUAAUAAUAAUAAUAAUAAUAAUAAUAAAAAGUAAUGAUAAAGUGCAAGACAUGUUCAUUAACGCAAUUAUUUUCUCCAACAUGGAGAAGUGAGGAGGCAUAUCUGUCUGUGAUUAGGGAAUGCAAAUGACGAUGUUCCAAGGACGUCACCCUGUCCUGGGCCAUGACAUGAGAGAAGAGGAAAAAAGGACUCUCUCUCUCUCUCUCUCUCUCUCUCUCUCUCUCUCUCUCUCUCUCUCUCUCUCUCUCUCUCUCUCUCUCUCUCUCU